Molecule: ribosomal RNA, 264 nt
Filed under: uncultured bacterium
Lineage: Bacteria
Description: partial 16S ribosomal RNA
Rfam family: Bacterial small subunit ribosomal RNA
Source: RNAcentral
GUCCACGCCCUAAACGAUGUCAACUAGCCGUUGGGUUCAUAUAAGGACUUAGUGGCGCAGCUAACGCGAUAAGUUGACCGCCUGGGGAGUACGGCCGCAAGGUUAAAACUCAAAGGAAUUGACGGGGGCCCGCACAAGCGGUGGAGCAUGUGGUUUAAUUCGAUGCAACGCGAAGAACCUUACCUGCCCUUGACAUCCUCGGAACUUGGCAGAGAUGCCUUGGUGCCUUCGGGAACCGAGUGACAGGUGCUGCAUGGCUGUCGU